AGAGUUUGAUCAUGGCUCAGGAUGAACGCUGGCGGCGUGCCUAACACAUGCAAGUCGAGCGAUUUACUUCGGUAAAGAGCGGCGGACGGGUGAGUAACGCGUGGGUAACCUGCCCUGUACACACGGAUAACAUACCGAAAGGUAUGCUAAUACGAGAUAAUAUACUUUUAUCGCAUGGUAGAAGUAUCAAAGCUUUUGCGGUACAGGAUGGACCCGCGUCUGAUUAGCUAGUUGGUAAGGUAACGGCUUACCAAGGCGACGAUCAGUAGCCGACCAGAGAGGGUGAUCGGCCACAUUGGAACUGAGACACGGUCCAAACUCCUACGGGAGGCAGCAGUGGGGAAUAUUGCACAAUGGGCGAAAGCCUGAUGCAGCAACGCCGCGUGAGCGAUGAAGGCCUUCGGGUCGUAAAGCUCUGUCCUCAAGGAAGAUAAUGACGGUACUUGAGGAGGAAGCCCCGGCUAACUACGUGCCAGCAGCCGCGGUAAUACGUAGGGGGCUAGCGUUAUCCGGAAUUACUGGGCGUAAAGGGUGCGUAGGUGGUUUCUUAAGUCAGAGGUGAAAGGCUACGGCUCAACCGUAGUAAGCCUUUGAAACUGGGAAACUUGAGUGCAGGAGAGGAGAGUGGAAUUCCUAGUGUAGCGGUGAAAUGCGUAGAUAUUAGGAGGAACACCAGUUGCGAAGGCGGCUCUCUGGACUGUAACUGACACUGAGGCACGAAAGCGUGGGGAGCAAACAGGAUUAGACACCCUGGUAGUCCACGCCGUAAACGAUGAGUACUAGCUGUCGGAGGUUACCCCCUUCGGUGGCGCAGCUAACGCAUUAAGUACUCCGCCUGGGAAGUACGCUCGCAAGAGUGAAACUCAAAGGAAUUGACGGGGACCCGCGCAAGUAGCGGAGCAUGUGGUUUAAUUCGAAGCAACGCGAAGAACCUUACCUAAGCUUGACAUCCUUUUGACCGAUGCCUAAUCGCAUCUUUCCCUUCGGGGACAGAAGUGACAGGUGGUGCAUGGUUGUCGUCAGCUCGUGUCGUGAGAUGUUGGGUUAAGUCCCGCAACGAGCGCAACCCUUGCCUUUAGUUGCCAGCAUUAAGUUGGGCACUCUAGAGGGACUGCCAGGGAUAACCUGGAGGAAGGUGGGGAUGACGUCAAAUCAUCAUGCCCCUUAUGCUUAGGGCUACACACGUGCUACAAUGGGUGGUACAGAGGGCAGCCAAGUCGUGAGGCGGAGCUAAUCCCUUAAAGCCAUUCUCAGUUCGGAUUGUAGGCUGAAACUCGCCUACAUGAAGCUGGAGUUACUAGUAAUCGCAGAUCAGAAUGCUGCGGUGAAUGCGUUCCCGGGUCUUGUACACACCGCCCGUCACACCACGGGAGUUGGGGGCGCCCGAAGCCGGAUUGCUAACCUUUUGGAAGCGUCCGUCGAAGGUGAAAUCAAUAACUGGGGUGAAGUCGUAACAAGGUA
RNAcentral lists this ribosomal RNA (1461 nucleotides) under metagenome. Its description in RNAcentral is "bacterial SSU rRNA". It matches the Rfam family "Bacterial small subunit ribosomal RNA". The record is from RNAcentral.